GAAAUCAGCUGAGGUGGAGGAGGCGAGCGCGAGAUCUCGCGAUACUUCCAUCCCAUAGCAACUGACAUGUUAGCCUUGGAUACCACCGGAGUCGUACUCAGGGCAGAUAGACGGUCCCAGGCUCUGGGUUCGAAUCGAGGCUUCUUCUUUCCUGUGUGGAGUUUGCGGGCUCUCUUGUGCUUGCGUGCCCUGUAACUGAUCAGUCCAGGGUGUACUUUGGGAUAG
Molecule: long non-coding RNA, 225 nt
Organism: Hippocampus comes (tiger tail seahorse)
Lineage: Eukaryota; Metazoa; Chordata; Actinopteri; Syngnathiformes; Syngnathidae
Exons: 3
Source: RefSeq, a predicted model, not a curated record